AACCCCCGGCCGUGGAGAACGGAAAGUGGCCUCGACCGUGCUGCCGAGUGAGACCGCGAGGCUGGUGCUUCGCACAGGCGGCCCCGCGCUUCCUCCCCACCCUGUGGGAGGAGAGAGUGUGUGCCCGGUUUCCCCGUUCCACCUCCCCUGGUCCGACGAGCGAUAGGGGCAGGUGGGCGGGGGCGGCUGGUCGCCUGGAAGGGAGUCGCCGCCACGCACCGGCCGCCCGCCGCUCUCCGGGCCCUGGCGCGGGGCUGCGGCCUCCGGGUAAAAUAGAACUGCACGGGAAACCCAUAGAAGUUGAGCACUCGGUCCCAAAAAGGCAAAGGAUUCGGAAACUUCAGAUACGAAAUAUCCCGCCUCAUUUACAGUGGGAGAUAACCUUUGGUUGAAUUGAGACUGAACAGGACUUUACCCUCUUAAAAGAAAUGCGUGUUCAAUUUUUCCAUGUGACUCAGCACUAGAGAUGUUCACCCAAAAUGACGGUGCUGGAUAGUUUACUAGUCCAGUAUGGAGUGGUGGAGAGCUGUGAGCAAGUGAACACUGACUCGGAAACUGCAGUUGUAAAUGUAACCUAUUCCAGUAAGGACCAAGCUAGACAAGCACUAGACAAACUGAAUGGAUUUCAGUUAGAGAAUUUCACCUUGAAAGUAGCCUAUAUCCCUGAUGAAAUGGCCGCCCAGCAAAACCCCUUGCAGCAGCCCCGAGGUCGCCGGGGGCUUGGGCAGAGGGGCUCCUCAAGGCAGGGGUCUCCAGGAUCCGUAUCCAAGCAGAAACCAUGUGAUUUGCCUCUGCGCCUGC
This 801-nucleotide small RNA is filed under the name Pan troglodytes (chimpanzee). RNAcentral describes it as "processed transcript". The record is from RNAcentral. Lineage: Eukaryota; Metazoa; Chordata; Mammalia; Primates; Hominidae.